GACGAACGCUGGCGGCGUGCUUAACACAUGCAAGUCGAACGGUGAACCAGGGCUUGCCCUGGGGAUCAGUGGCGAACGGGUGAGUAACACGUGGGCAACCUGCCCCUGACUCUGGGAUAACUUCGGGAAACCGAAGCUAAUACCGGAUACGACCUCUGACGGCAUCGUCGGAGGUGGAAAGUUUUUCGGUCAGGGAUGGGCCCGCGGCCUAUCAGCUUGUUGGUGGGGUAAUGGCCCACCAAGGCGCCGACGGGUAGCCGGCCUGAGAGGGCGACCGGCCACACUGGGACUGAGACACGGCCCAGACUCCUACGGGAGGCAGCAGUGGGGAAUAUUGCGCAAUGGGCGAAAGCCUGACGAAGCGACGCCGCGUGAGGGAUGAAGGCCUUCGGGUUGUAAACCUCUUUCAGCAGGGACGAAGCGAAAGUGACUGUACCUGCAGAAGAAGCACCGGCUAACUACGUGCCAGCAGCCGCCGUAA
Molecule: ribosomal RNA, 481 nt
Filed under: uncultured bacterium
Lineage: Bacteria
Description: partial 16S ribosomal RNA
Rfam family: Bacterial small subunit ribosomal RNA
Source: RNAcentral